Molecule: long non-coding RNA, 1402 nt
Organism: Dromaius novaehollandiae (emu)
Lineage: Eukaryota; Metazoa; Chordata; Aves; Casuariiformes; Dromaiidae
Exons: 3
Source: RefSeq, a predicted model, not a curated record
GAAGAUCCACACAACUAUCUAGCCUAUGAGGGGUGAAAGACUGAAAGCGCUAUUUAAUUGUGAAGAGGGGCUGGCCCUGAAGGUUGAGGCAGUAGAGAAGAAAACACAGGAAACAUACUGGAGUGAUUGCUGUGGGAACUGGAGAUAGUCACAGAAAAAUAAAUGUUGUCAUCUGAUCGUUUGAGAGUCAGCAACCAAACUGAAUCCAAUUAAUAGUUCUGUUCUGCCUUGUAAGAGCAAAAGUGGGACAAAACUCUGCUGACUACACUGAAAUUAAAAGUAAAACCUAGUCUUUUGGAAGGCCUAAUUAAAUCAGCCUUGAGAAGAGAAGCUUCCUGGCUUCACACAGUUUUGUGAGCAUAUCCUUGAAAUAAAGUCUAGGGUAGAGCUGGUUGGUGCAUAUAAUGCAAUUCUAGACUAGGCAAAAGUUCCAGAGAGAGAGAGAGGAAGACUCUAUUUGCUGCCUUUCAAAAGAAAAGUUCUGACAUAAAGUUUAAUUGACUUAGUCUUAAAGGAAACUUUUCUAGAGAAUCUGUUGAAAAUGCAUGGAAUACUGGCUGAGAACAAGAAAGACAUUUCUCCAUAGAUUGGAACAGAUACGCUACUCCUCAUGCAUCAGUGGCCUCAUUUGCCUCUUGGAGGAAAAGAAUACCAAGCCUAGAGAUCUCUUUUGUUCUGGUUUCCAGCUUUGCUGAAUACAACUGGUAUUUGGCACUCUAAAGGUGAAAAAAAAAAUGGAUAUUCUGUUUCAUCUGAGAAGGGAGAUUGGAAUUUUUGUGUCAGAAAAGGCUUUUAUUAACAAUUCUUCAUGCCACUAACUGGAAAACUAAAGCAGAGAGACAUACAACUACAGAAGCAUGCUGAUAAGUCUAAGAUGAUGCUUUUGAAAAAUAAGAAGCCUAACAAUAAAAGGAUCUUUUUUUCAAGAGGAUGAUACUCCAUUACUUGUCAAUUCUCCAUCUACCUGGCAAUUGAUUUGCACGUGGGUGUAAUUACCAUCGCUGAUGGUGUCGGAGAUGAGCUUCCCCACCAGGGUCCUGUCAAUCACCACUUUCUCCAGCUGUGGCCCAGAAAGGCUUAGGGACACCAAUACACCUGAAUGAAAGAGGAGCUAAAUCCAAAUAGCGAGAAAACAAGACAUCAAGAAUCAAUAAUAAAGUGAAACAGUCUAAGAUGAAGUGUGCCAUAGAAAGAUGCAUCUCUUUUGGAACAGUCCACCAAACAAAAGCACAUUUAUCAUCCCUGGGAGGGCUGGACUUUUAUGAAAAUUAAAGCUGUUGAAAGACGUUUAAAAACCAGAUUACAUGUUGCUGUACUUGAAAGUUUCUGAAACAUACCUCUACCUCCUUGAGAGUAUCUCGCAGUUUUUCUGGUCGUUUGUUUUUAAGUAUCCAAGGAUAAU